RNAcentral lists this long non-coding RNA (312 nucleotides) under Lactuca sativa (garden lettuce). RNAcentral's name for it is "long non-coding RNA (LSAT_LNC002281)". The record is from RNAcentral. Lineage: Eukaryota; Viridiplantae; Streptophyta; Magnoliopsida; Asterales; Asteraceae.
AUAAUCAUGGCUUGCCGGAACUUUUUGAAAGCCGAGAGGGCCGCUAAAUCGGUCGGAAUUACUAAAGAAAACUACACCGUUAUGCACCUCGACCUUUCUUCCCUCGAAAGCGUUCGCCAAUUUGUUGACACAUUCAGGCGCUCCGGUCGACCCCUUGAUGCACUUGUCUGCAACGCCGCCGUGUAUUUGCCCACCGCUAAAGAACCCACUUACACCGCCGACGGAUUUGAACUUAGCGUCGGUACUAACCAUCUUGGCCAUUUUCUCCUCGCACGAUUGUUGCUUGAUGACCUCAAGAAAUCCGAUUCCCCC